UUUCAAUCCAAAGGUUCGAAUGCCUACUUAAUGACGGCGUGCGUGUCAACUGUAGCAUCAUUUUUACGUCAAGCAGAAGCACACUAUUUGGAUCUCGCAAGAAGCAAGUAAGCGCUGUCGCGGUGUUUUAGACUGACUACAGUUGAUUACUAAAUGCGUAACGGCUCUAGCCACUAAAUUAUUGCAGUACUCCGACGCCAGGAUUUGUGCGUUCAUAUUUAUAAUCACCUGCUUCGUCAGCGCAGUAGCUGCUGUACAAACGUUGUUGUUACUCAGGUUCCUUUGGAAUUGGAUCGGACGGGCUAUUUGUUGCUAGUUAACACGGUUGUUGUGGUCAUCCUAUGGCUGCAUUACAGUAUCCGUCACGCAUUUACUCUCACAGCAACGUUUCGUGUAUUUCUAGAGAAGAGCGCUUGGGUCUGAAAGCGAGUAACUGCAAGUGGACACUAGAGAUGUCGAGGAUGGCUAGUGGAGGGUGGAAAGCACGAUGGCGUCUAUAGAGAAGUUGCACGAUGGAACGGAUACAACCGGCGAUGGACGGCCGCAUGGGUGUCCGGCUGUGAGACGCCCGGUAGUUCCGACCUGACAGCGAUGGUGGCUUGUUUAUCCAAGAUGCAUGUCCUGCGGCUAGGCAAGCUUAUACAGCCUGCUCGGCAGACCAGUUUCUGCAGGCCAUAGAACUGUUGACCAGCUCUGCCGCUCCGGCCGUGAGAAACAGCCUGCUGUUCGCUCCCUCGGGCGCAACGAUCCUGAACUCCCAACUGUGCCCCCCUUCGCCCCCUCAUCCAGCUAUGGUCGGCCGAUCAGCCGGUGCUCUCCGCUCCCACUUAACAGAAGCACCCGAAGGAGAAGUUACAGUACACACGGUUGGCGUGCCGACAAUGCUCACAGAUUCCUGAAAUGUUCUUUACUGCAAGCAUAUUAGAUUGAAUGUAUCUCCACGCUUUCUUCUGCUGGCCCAUUGUCUAUGAUCAAUUCGUCGGACUAUUUCUUUUUUGGAUGCUUGCUUUUCUAGCGGGUUAAAAGGUUACCGAGCAGCCCAGAAUGUCCGUGACGCGGAAAGCGAAAACUCUGCAACUAA
Varroa destructor (honeybee mite) is the source of this 1081-nucleotide long non-coding RNA. RefSeq lists it as uncharacterized. The record is from RefSeq and is a predicted model, not a curated record. Lineage: Eukaryota; Metazoa; Arthropoda; Arachnida; Mesostigmata; Varroidae.